GGAGGUAUGGCUUAAGUAGUAGAGCAUCUGCCUACCAAGCAGGAGGCCCCAAGUACCACCA
RNAcentral lists this transfer RNA (61 nucleotides) under Dipodomys ordii (Ord's kangaroo rat). It matches the Rfam family "tRNA". Rfam says of the family: Transfer RNA (tRNA) molecules are approximately 80 nucleotides in length. Their secondary structure includes four short double-helical elements and three loops (D, anti-codon, and T loops). Lineage: Eukaryota; Metazoa; Chordata; Mammalia; Rodentia; Heteromyidae. The record is from Rfam by way of RNAcentral.